Molecule: ribosomal RNA, 366 nt
Filed under: uncultured bacterium
Lineage: Bacteria
Description: bacterial SSU rRNA
Rfam family: Bacterial small subunit ribosomal RNA
Source: RNAcentral
GUGGCUUAACCAUAGUACGCUUUGGAAACUGUUUAACUUGAGUGCAAGAGGGGAGAGUGGAAUUCCAUGUGUAGCGGUGAAAUGCGUAGAUAUAUGGAGGAACACCGGUGGCGAAAGCGGCUCUCUGGCUUGUAACUGACGCUGAGGCUCGAAAGCGUGGGGAGCAAACAGGAUUAGAUACCCUGGUAGUCCACGCCGUAAACGAUGAGUGCUAGGUGUUAGACCCUUUCCGGGGUUUAGUGCCGUAGCUAACGCAUUAAGCACUCCGCCUGGGGAGUACGACCGCAAGGUUGAAACUCAAAGGAAUUGACGGGGGCCCGCACAAGCGGUGGAGCAUGUGGUUUAAUUCGAAGGUCGACGCGGCCG